UUUCACACUUAGCUUCUUCAAAAAUUAAGGAAAGUAUUGUGAUAUUUUUCUACUUCCAAGCAGAGAUCCUACCUAUUCUGCUGAUUAUUUUUAGGAACAAACACUGACGCGGUAGUGGUAGAGCGUUCGCUUCGUAACCGGGAGGUCAUGAGUUCGGGUCUCGUUCUUGCCAUGGCCACGUCAAACAUAAGACGUUAUCAUAGGUAGUGAUUGCUCUUUUGCCAAACGCUCGGCAUUUAAAAGUGAGAAUCACGUGUUUUUCGGAUAUAACCUUAAAAACGGAGGACCCGUGUCGCGGCAGGCGUUGACACGAUAAAGAACCCUCACUGGAACAGCCCUGAGCACAAAGCAUAGGUCUAAUUUUGUGGUACUUCACCUACAAGUAUGGUGGCUGAUUUGUGCCACUUUACAAACAGAACGAAAAGACGACAAAAGAUAAUUAGCGACUUUUCGCCUCGAAAUAACGAAAAGACGACAGAACGAAAAGACGACAAAUAAAACCUGCAAAUUGGCGACCUAAUUUGUCGUCUUUUCGCUUGAUGAAUGACGGUGAUAUUUAGAUUUGUAGUAUCGUGUGAUAUUCAAUGAAUGACGGUGAUAUUCUACCAAAAACAAAACUAAAAAGAGUAACAAAUUAUUGUCUUCAGGAACGUUGUACGGUCACCGUGACGGUCCAUCAUUCUCAUUUGAGAUGACCAAUAAUUUUCUCCAAAAGGUGGGAAAAUAAGUUUACGAAAUGAGUGAGAUUUGUUGCAUUUAAUUUUUGGGGGUUACUUAUAAAAUACUGAAACAAAUUUGUUGAAAACGACUAAGAUUACAUCCCUUGAUUUCUAGUAAGAAUGUUAAAUUCAUUGAAGGUUUUAAUUAAAAUUCAUUCAAUACGUAAUAACAAAUGAUACCUGAUAUUUGUACAUACCACACAUAACUGCAGUAAGCAUAAACAGAGCAGUGUCACCUCUCAGGGAAAAUGCAUCAUAGUGGCGAUCAAAUGGGAGAUAAUAUUUUGGCGGACCCGACACUUGAUGGGUAAUCUUUAAUUGUUUCUUCCUGUUUCUUUAAGUUUCAAUAAAAGGACGUACUGAUUUCCUGUUAAAACAAAAACUGAGUUCUUUUCCUGAAUCCAUAUUUAUCGGUUUGGGAUAAAAAGUAUAAAAACAAUAGUUUUUUUAGCGAUAACCUUGCACAGCAAAAUGUAACGGAUGCGUCGUCACAUAAGGAAGGACUGGGUAUACUAAGUAUAAUAAAUCGGCCUUUAUAGCAGAUCAAAACGUAGAAAUACGUCAUUUAACCCAACGCCUUUUGUUCAUGGACUAAUUAUAUGGGUUUCCAGAUAUUAAUUGAAUAAAUGCAUUGACAAAAACAAAAAUUAUUUGAUAUUUGGUUUGAAUAUGCUACAGCAUUUUAGCAAGCCAAGUGUCCGAUUCGCUUCUUCUCACCUCCUCUUUGCGGAAUUAAUUGCGACUGAACUGCCAUCUAACGGAUCGAGCAAGUUAUCGCUCUUGACGAAAACAAAAUCUAACCAAUCAGACAAAAUCCCAUGACAAAGGCGACGACAUGGGCUAGACAUGAGAAUCGCCAUUACUCAAACCAAACUGUAUGUAUGACGCGAUUUGAUUGGAUGCCCUGGAGAGUCGAAGCGCAUAUUGGGUGACGUCCGUACUAUAUCUUUUCUCUGAACUUCCUCGAUAUACAUGUUGUAGCACUUGUAAGUUUAAGAUCUUUUGAGGAAAACCGGCUGAUUUUAAAAUGAUUUAUUUUAAGUUCUGUUGCAUUUUUAACCGGACACAUCCAAUUUUGAAACCUAAAAAGCGAUAAUUCAUUCAUUGAUAUUUUUAAAACUCUUGUAAGGGCCCUUACAUAAAUGGUGGUAUUAAUGCUUAUUUAUAAGUGAAUAUUCAAAUUGUUUCUGAAGUUUGUUCCAUUUUUAAAUAAAAUAUUUCAUAUAACACUUUCCGUGUGUUUCUUUGGAACUAGUCCAGAAUAUUUAAACUUUUAGCGGCCGAUGUGAUGCUUUGCGUCAAAAUUAACUCGUGUUGCUAGAUCUAUAUAGAUUUUGAAUAAUGUAUAACAAAUUUCCUACAAAGAUGUGUCAAAGUUCGUGUUUAAAGUUUUCGAUGUCGAAACGUGGCAACAUCCAAACCGUCCUCUCAUAACAAAGUUCUUAGACUAAUUCAAAUUUUUAAAAAAAAGUAUUAUAAAACCCAAAACGGAAGGGUAUGAUUUUCUUGAAUUUAAAAUUUUGUCAGGUUUCGACAUCGAAGACCUUUCAAACAAACUAGGCCUCAUAUUUUUUUACUAGUGUGGUUAGUAACUUGAUAUUCUAAAAAUUAGUGAAUUGACGGUUGAAUAAUAACAGAGCAUAAUGUUUCACAAUUGAAGAAAUUCCAGUGAUGGAUACACGAACAGAAAAUGAGCGACAUCAACUAUCAAUGGUUGCACGAACUUUGAGAUGUGGUUUAUAAGAAGCUGUAUAUAUCGACGAAAUCAAAAGAAUGAAUACAAUUAUCCAUGCAUUAAUAUCAAUAUCAUACAACAUGCACUUUCUUAAUGGAUUGCGAAAUUUAGGAAUGACCCUGAUUCACUGAUUUUCAGAAUAUCAGAAAAGCAAGUUACUAAGUACUAGUAAAAAACUAAAUCAUCCCGUGAACUAAUAUAUAUAUAUAUAUAUAAAUCAAUUUUAACUGAUUUACCUUUGUUUUUCAUAUCGGAUGUUCACCUCACAAUUUUGCGAUUAUCCGAUUGUAUUCCUCCCACGACUUUCCGCCAAAUAAAUCUGACCGACUCGCUUUCCUUUUAUAUUCACGCAUGUUGUAGGAAUUGGAUAAAAAUCGGUGUAUUAUCUUCCCUAUAGACAGUGAUUCUGAAGCAGGAAAAGACAAUGAGGUGCCACCUUCGCAAGCCAAGAGUUUUCAGUCCACACCGUUCCGUUUGCAGGGAGGGGAGUUGACCAAGAAUCCUUGAUUUGUGAAGAUGAUGGGGUGGAGGUUGUAGGGAAAACAGAAGAGAGGAAAGGUUUUUUGACAAAACAAUGGCACCGUACAAGACUUCAUUUGGUCAUAACACAUGGAUACCAAAAGUACUCGCCAAGGGAUGAUGUAGGGAAUGUUCGCGGGCGCUGCUGAAAAGGCUUCUGGCCUCAGCCAGGUGCACGUGUUACCGAGUGAUGUCGUCCCAGAUACAACAUUUAUUGCAGUCAGUCAGCAGAAUAAGAAUAUUUCAUAACAUUCACACAAGACAAAACAUGGUAAUCCCCCUACUUAUCCUUUUGUUUUUCCUUGGACGUGCUUGUUACCAAUUGUUAGUAAUAUUGGUUUUUACUACGGAUUACUCCUCUACCUGAUCACAGGUAUCUGAAUAUUUUUUUCGCCAUUCUUCUAAAACCUGACACUCAAGGAUACAAUGAUAUUCAUCAGCUAUUUGAUCCUUGUUACAGGUAUGGCAAUUUCUAUGUUUUACUUCCGUGGGAAUCCGGGUUAGAAUAUGUCCUCAGUACCCCUUGCUUGUCGUAAAAGGCGAAUAAAUGGGGCGGUCCUUCGGAUGAGACCGCAAAAACCGAGGUCCCUUGUCACAGCAGGUGUGGCACGAUAAAGAUCCCUCCUUGCUCAAAGGCCAUAAGCGCCGAGCAUAGGCCGAAAUUUUGCAGCCCUUCACUGGCAGUGGUGACGUCUCCAUAUGAGUGAAAUAUUCUCGAAAGGGACGUUAAACAAUAUUCAAUCAAUCUACCACGUUUUGGAAUGCCACACCAUCUUCCAGUCAAGACUGACCAGGCUGAAGCUCCAUGCUCCUUUAAAUGUUUGGGUAAAGUUUUUCCAUUGAAUUUUCAAGUAAACAUUUGUAAAUAAAAAACUUCCUGUUGUCUACUUAUCUUCAAGUGAUAUUCUACUUAGACUUUUUGCAUUGACCUCUUCUAUGUAGCAA
Molecule: long non-coding RNA, 3918 nt
Organism: Ostrea edulis (European flat oyster)
Lineage: Eukaryota; Metazoa; Mollusca; Bivalvia; Ostreida; Ostreidae
Exons: 5
Source: RefSeq, a predicted model, not a curated record